UACGUAGGGACCGAGCGUUGUCCGGAAUCAUUGGGCGUAAAGAGCGUGUAGGCGGCCUUUUAAGUCCUGCGUGAAAUCCCGGGGCUCAACCUCGGAACUGCCUUUGAUACUGCAAAUCUCGAGUCCGGAAGAGGUGAGUGGAAUUCCUAGUGUAGAGGUGAAAUUCGUAGAUAUUAGGAAGAACACCAGUGGCGAAGGCGGCUCACUGGUCCGGUACUGACGCUGAGGUGCGAAAGCGUGGGGAGCAAACAGG
Molecule: ribosomal RNA, 253 nt
Filed under: uncultured bacterium
Lineage: Bacteria
Description: partial 16S ribosomal RNA
Rfam family: Bacterial small subunit ribosomal RNA
Source: RNAcentral